This 468-nucleotide ribosomal RNA is filed under the name uncultured bacterium. RNAcentral's name for it is "partial 16S ribosomal RNA". It matches the Rfam family "Bacterial small subunit ribosomal RNA", at positions 28 to 507 of the family's 1533-position model. The record is from RNAcentral.
GACGAACGCUGGCGGCGUGCUUAACACAUGCAAGUCGAACGGAAAGGCCCUGCUUUUGUGGGCUGCUCGAGUGGCGAACGGGUGAGUAACACGUGAGUAACCUGCCCUUGACUUUGGGAUAACUUCAGGAAACUGGGGCUAAUACCGGAUAGGAGCUCCUGCUGCAUGGUGGGGGUUGGAAAGUUUCGGCGGUUGGGGAUGGACUCGCGGCUUAUCAGCUUGUUGGUGGGGUAGUGGAUUACCAAGGCUUUGACGGGUAGCCGGCCUGAGAGGGUGACCGGCCACAUUGGGACUGAGAUACGGCCCAGACUCCUACGGGAGGCAGCAGUGGGGAAUAUUGCACAAUGGGCGGAAGCCUGAUGCAGCAACGCCGCGUGCGGGAUGACGGCCUUCGGGUUGUAAACCGCUUUCGCCUGUGACGAAGCGUGAGUGACGGUAAUGGGUAAAGAAGCACCGGCUAACUACGUG